RNAcentral lists this unclassified non-coding RNA (409 nucleotides) under plant metagenome. Its description in RNAcentral is "partial contains small subunit ribosomal RNA, internal transcribed spacer 1, and 5.8S ribosomal RNA". The record is from RNAcentral.
UUUCCGUAGGUGAACCUGCGGAAGGAUCAUCACCAAAAAAAACACAAAAACAAAAAAAACACAAAAAAGAAACCUUCAAAAAAAAGAAAGAAAUUUCUUUUUUUUGAAGACUUUUUUUAAAAAAAAAAGAGUUCUUUACGGGACUCUUUCUUCGAUUGUUUGUUGUCACAUCACGACGAGAAGAAGGAGGGAAAAAAAAAAUGGGGGGAUUUUUCUUUCUUUCACUAGAGAGGAAAAGCCCACCACGCUUUUUUUUCUUCUUCUUCUUGUUCUUGACAAUAAAACCCCUACACACACCAAAAAAAAAAAUUACGCUCCUUUAAAAUAAAAAAAACUUUUUUAAUAACAAAAAAACAAACAACAACAAAAAAACAAAAGACAACUUUUAACAACGGAUCUCUUGGCUCUC